Molecule: long non-coding RNA, 780 nt
Filed under: Ananas comosus (pineapple)
Lineage: Eukaryota; Viridiplantae; Streptophyta; Magnoliopsida; Poales; Bromeliaceae
Description: long non-coding RNA (ACOM_LNC021889)
Source: RNAcentral
UGCAUUGCUCUUGUCCAAAAACCAACAUAUCUUCUAAUAUAUUAAGGGUGCGUUUGGUUCGCGCUAUCUUUUAAAGAUUUCUAGUAAUCCAAUGGGAAUAAAAAAAUAUGACGGUGUUUGGCUAAACCUACUAAGUAAUCUAGUUGGUAAUAUUGGAUUCACUUGGGAAUAAGAUUCACCCCAAAGUAUUAAUCUCAUUUCCUUGAGGGAGGGUGGGUAUCCUCAUAUUAAUGGAUUGGGAUAAUCAUAAUAUGUUUAAUCUCUUUCUUUCUUCCUACCCGCCGGUUAAUUGAUAUUAUUUUUCUUUACACUCUAAUCUUAUAUCUCUCUCUAAACUUAUUUUUCUCUCUAAAAUUCAACUUUUUUUUCUCUCUCUAAACUAAGCUUUCUCUCUUCUCUCUCUCUCUUUCUAAAAUUUCAACUCUCUUACUCCCUCUAAUUUCGACUAUAUUUUUCUUUCUAUGUUUUUAAUUACGCUCUCUCUCUCUAACUUAUACUCUCUCUUCCUUUUUUCUAAAAAGAUGUUGAAACUUUUGGUAAUAUUAUUUAAAAUUAAAUUAAUUAAUUAAUUAAUUAAUUGUAUAUUUUUUGUAAUAUUAAAUAACAUGGCUAAUUAAUAUUACCGUGCGAACCAAACACAAAAAUUCCAUAUUCUUAGUAAUAGGAUAAUAGGAAUAAGAUUCUCGAAUAUCUUUUAUUCCUAGUAAUCUUUCAUAAUGCGAACCAAACGCACCCUAAAUGUUAUUAAAAUUCUCUGUAAGAACUAUUCAAAAACUCAGC